UGAGGUUGGAAAAAAGCAAAUUAUCCCUUUCUCUUGUUCCCACAUAAAUGUGUUGGAAAAAUACAUAGUUGGUAACAUGGUUUUGUGGUGAGGUAGUUGGGAUUAGUGGGCGUUUAUCUCCUUCUUCCACACUGUUUUUUUGUUGUCUUUUAAGGCUUCAUCACAAAUCUUCCCAUACUUUAAGGCUUUAAUUUAGUCUAUCCUGAACGUAGUCGCCACUCUUCACAGCCCUUCAACUGGGCCAUUUGACCUUUUUUUUUUUGUGUUCUUCAUUUCUAGUUCCUACACUUAUGAUGUGGAUGUUUCAUUCGAUUCAGUGUUUACUUAUGUAACGGUCUUAAAACUGGUUCCUAGAAUUAGAAUGACUUCAUCAUGCCCA
RNAcentral lists this long non-coding RNA (379 nucleotides) under Vigna radiata. RNAcentral's name for it is "long non-coding RNA (VRAD_LNC009231)". Lineage: Eukaryota; Viridiplantae; Streptophyta; Magnoliopsida; Fabales; Fabaceae. The record is from RNAcentral.